RNAcentral lists this long non-coding RNA (284 nucleotides) under Homo sapiens (human). Its description in RNAcentral is "LHRI_LNC1872.1". Lineage: Eukaryota; Metazoa; Chordata; Mammalia; Primates; Hominidae. The record is from RNAcentral.
CAUUUCCUGCUUUCACCAAUUAACCACUGAAUUGCUAUUUUUUCCUUUUGGCCACAUAGCUAGGUUUCUGGUUCCCCCACAGUAGGUGUUUUCACAUAAGAUUAGGGUCUUUUUGGAAAGAAUAGUUGCAGUGUUUAUAGGAUAGUUGUGGUAAGAAUCUAGUUUAUUUUGCAUUUGGCUAAUUGGUCUGUGCUGCAUGGUUAUAUACUCCUGGAUUAUAGAUAAAAAGUCUCCGUAGACAUCUCUGUGAAGAGCAAGCUAUCAUUAAACAUGUCUGUUUAUCA